CAACCUACCUAUCAGAGGGGAAUAACCCGGCGAAAGUCGGACUAAUACCGCAUAAAACAGGGGCACCGCAUGGUGAUAUUUGUUAAAGAAAUUCGCUGAUAGAUGGGCAUGCGUUCCAUUAGGUAGUUGGUGAGGUAACGGCUCACCAAGCCGACGAUGGAUAGGGGAACUGAGAGGUUGGUCCCCCACACUGGUACUGAGACACGGACCAGACUCCUACAGGAGGCAGCAGUGAGGAAUAUUGGUCAAUGGGCGAGAGCCUGAACCAGCCAAGUCGCGUGAAGGAAGAAGGAUCUAUGGUUCGUAAACUUCUUUUGCAGGGGAAUAAAGUGCAGGACGUGUCCUGUUUUGUAUGUACCCUGAGAAUAAGGAUCGGCUAACUCCGUGCCAGCAGCCGCGGUAAUACGGAGGAUCCGAGCGUUAUCCGGAUUUAUUGGGUUUAAAGGGUGCGUAGGUGGUUUGAUAAGUCAGCGGUGAAAGUUUGCAGCUUAACUGUAAAAAUGCCGUUGAAACUGUCGGACUUGAGUGUAAAUGAGUAGGCGGAAUGCGUGGUGUAGCGGUGAAAUGCAUAGAUAUCACGAAGAACUCCGAUUG
This 594-nucleotide ribosomal RNA is filed under the name uncultured Bacteroidota bacterium. RNAcentral's name for it is "bacterial SSU rRNA". It matches the Rfam family "Bacterial small subunit ribosomal RNA", at positions 122 to 715 of the family's 1533-position model. The record is from RNAcentral. Lineage: Bacteria; Pseudomonadati; Bacteroidota.